Long non-coding RNA from Myotis daubentonii (Daubenton's bat), 1215 nucleotides. RefSeq lists it as uncharacterized. The record is from RefSeq and is a predicted model, not a curated record. The transcript is spliced from 2 exons. Lineage: Eukaryota; Metazoa; Chordata; Mammalia; Chiroptera; Vespertilionidae.
CUCCGCCGCAGAAAAGAGUCCGCCGCCUUCCCGGCCCCAGGCUCGGCCCCGGCCCGCGCUCCCGCCCCCUGGAGAGAAAAAGGAGUGCCUCGCGCCCUACGCCCCGAGGCGCGAUAAUAAACUGCAUUUUAUGAAUGUGGUCUGAAAAAGGUGAUUCGUGGGGGAAAGGACCCACAUGCUGUAUCGUGGUUUUCUGGAUUGUUUCCUCAAGCCUUGUACCCGCUGAGCUCCUUAACAUUCAUUCCUAGUGGGAGAUACUUGCUGCAACUGCCUUGGGCUGCACUGCAAGACUGCAUCUGUGUAAUGCCCUAUCCUAUACGAAAACAUCCAGAAAUCAUCGUACAUAUGCUGAAGGAGAAAAAAAGACUAGACAUCCUCGGAAUAAUACGAUGUAAAAAUUGCCUUUUUUUUUUUUAAACACCUUAAUUCAAAUAAAAAAGAGUUGUCCGAUUGCAUUUUAAUUACCAGAGAAACUUAUUUAUUGAAAUGGCUAUCCUUCCAAUAUUGAAAAUAUUUGCAUUUUUAAAGACAGUAAUUCCAUUCUAACUAUUAUAGGUAAAGUAGCUUCUUCUAGGUGAUUAGGUUUGAAAAGACAGACAUUUAAUAUGCCUUUAUGCAGUUCUGUUUAUUUCUAUGAUUGAUGCUUUCUAGUGUAUCUUUUCUUUUUAAAAAGUAUUAUAUUCUUCAAAUAAGUGUAAUAUUUUAUAUUACGAUGUUCUUCAAAUAAACAGAUUUCAAGAACUAAGGAUUAUAGUUAGAAUCUUGUGGUUUUGAAAUGUUUGUAUUAGUCUGAUUCUUCCUAAUAGAUGUUGUAUCCUUGCGAAGGAAAAUGAACCAAAUUAUGACAUGAAAUAUAAAAUUACCCUGAGUAAAGUUUUCCACAUAUAUCUUGUGACUGUUAUGUAAACAUUGAAAGCUAGUAUGAUUAUCUCAUGUAUGUUUUCCAUUUAGAAGCUACAAAAGCUUUCCCUAAGUAUGCUACUAUACUUAGCUCCUAAUUUUUUUAAGGAAAAUAGCCCUUCGAAGUUUUCUGAAUGUGAUGUUUCUGUCAUUUUGACUAACCUUUGACAAUAUUUAUAGUUUAUUUUUCAAAGACCUAAUUUCAAGAUGGCUGCCUUUGAACUAAUUUAUAACUAUCAGUCUGUUUUAAGAAAAUAUAUAUUAACUGCUAAAAAUUAAAACUUCUCUUAAGCCAAAUAAACUAUUUGUUUUUAA